Molecule: ribosomal RNA, 190 nt
Filed under: uncultured Glomeromycotina
Lineage: Eukaryota; Fungi; Glomeromycota
Description: partial 18S ribosomal RNA
Rfam family: Eukaryotic small subunit ribosomal RNA
Source: RNAcentral
UAGUAUUCAAUUGUCAGAGGUGAAAUUCUUGGAUUUAUUGAAGACUAACUACUGCGAAAGCAUUUGCCAAGGAUGUUUUCAUUAAUCAAGAACGAAAGUUAGGGGAUCGAAGACGAUCAGAUACCGUCGUAGUCUUAACCAUAAACUAUGCCGACUAGGGAUCGGAUGAUGUUAAUUUUAUAAUGACUCA